RNAcentral lists this ribosomal RNA (801 nucleotides) under uncultured bacterium. Its description in RNAcentral is "bacterial SSU rRNA". It matches the Rfam family "Bacterial small subunit ribosomal RNA", at positions 87 to 884 of the family's 1533-position model. The record is from RNAcentral.
GCCGGCGAGCGGCGGACGGGUGAGUAAUGCCUAGGAAUCUGCCUGGUAGUGGGGGAUAACUCGGGGAAACUUGAGCUAAUACCGCAUACGUCCUACGGGAGAAAGCGGGGGAUCUUCGGACCUCGCGCUACCAGAUGAGCCUAGGUCGGAUUAGCUAGUUGGUGAGGUAAAGGCUCACCAAGGCGACGAUCCGUAGCUGGUCUGAGAGGAUGAUCAGCCACACUGGAACUGAGACACGGUCCAGACUCCUACGGGAGGCAGCAGUGGGGAAUAUUGGACAAUGGGCGAAAGCCUGAUCCAGCCAUGCCGCGUGUGUGAAGAAGGUCUUCGGAUUGUAAAGCACUUUAAGUUGGGAGGAAGGGCAGUAAGCUAAUACCUUGCUGUUUUGACGUUACCGACAGAAUAAGCACCGGCUAACUUCGUGCCAGCAGCCGCGGUAAUACGAAGGGUGCAAGCGUUAAUCGGAAUUACUGGGCGUAAAGCGCGCGUAGGUGGUUCGUUAAGUUGGAUGUGAAAGCCCCGGGCUCAACCUGGGAACUGCAUCCAAAACUGGCGAGCUAGAGUAUGGCAGAGGGUGGUGGAAUUUCCUGUGUAGCGGUGAAAUGCGUAGAUAUAGGAAGGAACACCAGUGGCGAAGGCGACCACCUGGGCUAAUACUGACACUGAGGUGCGAAAGCGUGGGGAGCACACAGGAUUAGAUACCCUGGUAGUCCACGCCGUAAACGAUGUCGACUUGGAGGUUGUGCCCUUGAGGCGUGGCUUCCGGAGCUAACGCGUUAAGUCGACCGCCUGGGGAGUACG